CGCCCAGCCCUGCCACCCGUCUUGCCCCGACUGCAAAAGCUAUCUAGGGGAAGAAGAAGAUGCGAUAGAGAGGAUGACAAGUGGGGUCUUAAUUGGCGGGCAACAAUGGCAAUUCACUCAGAAAUCGAUCUUUUUUGGAGCUGAGAGCACCCAUCUAGCCAAACACCCCAUUUUAGUUCUGGAGUUUUGGAGCGGAGCUGACUCCAUGUGGAGUUCUGGAGUGGAGCAGCUCUACCCGGAGUUGGAGCCAUGCCAAAUAGGGCCUAACUGUAUGCUCAGCAGAGACUAAAUGAGAAUUAAACUUUUGUUCAACAGUAGGUUCCCAAUCUAAGUAUGUCUCUGGAUCAACAUUACCAACAAAAAGAAUCAUGGUAAACUUUGUUUUAGCAAAAUGAUCAUUAUUACCAUGAUUAUGAUUACCUCCCAUACCCUGACGAUUACAACAAAGACGGUCUGCGCCACGUGCACCAUCAUCAAAACCAUUAGUGUCGUCAUCAUCCUCGU
RNAcentral lists this long non-coding RNA (504 nucleotides) under Setaria italica (foxtail millet). Its description in RNAcentral is "long non-coding RNA (SITA_LNC004994)". The record is from RNAcentral. Lineage: Eukaryota; Viridiplantae; Streptophyta; Magnoliopsida; Poales; Poaceae.